This 435-nucleotide ribosomal RNA is filed under the name Triticum aestivum (bread wheat). Its description in RNAcentral is "partial small subunit ribosomal RNA". The record is from RNAcentral. Lineage: Eukaryota; Viridiplantae; Streptophyta; Magnoliopsida; Poales; Poaceae.
AUGUCGUCGACGUCGUCCAAGCCGAAGAGAGCAGGCGGCCUCCGGGGCCUCAGGCCGCAGCCGCUGAGCCUGUCAGCCCGGCCGUCCAAGAAGCCACGCGUUGGCGGCCACGCCGGACCAGCCGGGCCCGUGAUCGUGUACGAGAUCACGCCGAGGGUCGUCCACGCCGACCCACACGAGUUCAUGGCCGUCGUGCAGAGGCUCACGGGCAGGCAGCCGUCGUCGACGGAGGCGAUGUCCGGAUCCGGAGCUAGGGACGGCAUUGCCUCGACGUCUUUGGUUCUCACGCUUGGCCAGCAGCAGCGUGCGCCGUGUGGUGGUGACCAUCCGGCGCCUCCUGCUUCCCCGGCUGCCGCAUCAUCACCGCUGCUGUCCCCGAGCAGCUUCUUCUUCUCCCCUACCACUAUGCAGGCGAUACGAGAGCUCAUUAGCUGA